UCGAGGGGCAUCAGGAAGAAAGCUUGCUUUCUUUGCUGGCGACCGGCGCNACGGGUGAGUAACACGUAUCCAACCUGCCCUUUACUCGGGGAUAGCCUUUCGAAAGAAAGAUUAAUACCCGAUAGCAUAAUGAUUCCGCAUGGUUUCAUUAUUAAAGGAUUCCGGUAAAGGAUGGGGAUGCGUUCCAUUAGGUUGUUGGUGAGGUAACGGCCCACCAAGCCUUCGAUGGAUAGGGGUUCUGAGAGGAAGGUCCCCCACAUUGGAACUGAGACACGGUCCAAACUCCUACGGGAGGCAGCAGUGAGGAAUAUUGGUCAAUGGGCGUUAGCCUGAACCAGCCAAGUAGCGUGAAGGAUGAAGGCUCUAUGGGUCGUAAACUUCUUUUAUAUAAGAAUAAAGUGCAGUAUGUAUACUGUUUUGUAUGUAUUAUAUGAAUAAGGAUCGGCUAACUCCGUGCCAGCAGCCGCGGUAAUACGGAGGAUCCGAGCGUUAUCCGGAUUUAUUGGGUUUAAAGGGAGCGUAGGUGGACUGGUAAGUCAGUUGUGAAAGUUUGCGGCUCAACCGUAAAAUUGCAGUUGAUACUGUCAGUCUUGAGUACAGUAGAGGUGGGCGGAAUUCGUGGUGUAGCGGUGAAAUGCUUAGAUAUCACGAAGAACUCCGAUUGCGAAGGCAGCUCACUGGACUGCAACUGACACUGA
This 698-nucleotide ribosomal RNA is filed under the name uncultured Bacteroidales bacterium. Its description in RNAcentral is "bacterial SSU rRNA". It matches the Rfam family "Bacterial small subunit ribosomal RNA", at positions 62 to 749 of the family's 1533-position model. Lineage: Bacteria; Pseudomonadati; Bacteroidota; Bacteroidia; Bacteroidales. The record is from RNAcentral.